UACCUGGUUGAUCCUGCCAGUAGUCAUAUGUUUGUCACAAAGAUUAAGCCAUGAAUGUGUUAGUAUGAACAAAUUCAGACUGUGAAACUGUGAAUGGCGUAUUAAAUUAGUUAUAGUUUGUUUGAAGGUAGAUACUACUCGUAUAACCGUAGUAAUUCUAGACCUAAUACGUAGAACAAACCCCGACUUAUUGAAGGGAUGCAUUUAUUAGAUAAAAGGUCGACGCGGCCUCUGCCUGUUGCUGCGAUGAUUCAUGACAACUCGACGAAUCGCACGGCCAUCGUGCCGGCGACACAUCAUCCAAAUUUCUGCCCUACCAACUUUCGAUGAUAGGAUAGUGGCCUGCCAUGGUUGUGAAGGUUGAAGGAGAAUUAGGGUUCGAUUCCGGAGAGGGAGCCUGAAAAAUGGGGAGUUAUUGACAAUAAAUAAAUAACAAUACCGGUCUCUAUUAGUCUGGUAAUUGUAAUGAGUACAAUCUAAAUCCCUUAACGAGGAUCCAUUGGAGGGCAAGUCUGGUGCCAACAGUCGCGGUAAUUCCAGCUCCAGUAGAAUAUAUUUAAGUUGUUGCAGUCAAAAAACUCGUAGUUGGACUUUGGGAUGGGCCGGACGGUCCGCCCUAGGUGUGCACCGGUCGUCUCGUCCCUUCUGUCGGCGAUGCGCUCCUGGCCUUAAUUGGCCGGGUCGUGCCUCCGGCGCUGUUACUUUGAAGAAAUUGAAGUGCUCAAAGAAAGCCUACGCUCUGUAUACAUUAGCCUGGGAUAGCAUUAUAGGAUUUCGGUCCUAUUCCGUUGGCCUUCAGGAUCAGAGUAAUGAUUAACACAGACAGUCGGGGGCAUUCGUAUUUCAUAGUCAAAGGUGAAAUUUUUGGAUUUAUGAUAGACGAACAACUGCGAAAGCAUUUGCCAAGGAUGUUUUCAUUAAUCAAGAACGAAAGUUGGGGGUUCGAAGACGAUCAGAUACCGUCCUAGUCACAACCAUAAUAGAUGCCAACCAGGGAUCGUUGGAUGUUUCUUUUAGGACUCUGCCUGCACCUUAUGAGAAAUCAAAGUUUUUGGGUUCCGGGGGGAGUAUCGUCGCAAGGCUCAAACUUAAAGGAAUUGACGGAAGGGCACCACCAGGAGUGGAGCCUGCAGAUUAAUUUGACUGAGCUGUUUCUUGAUUCUAUGGGUGGUGGCGCAUGGCCGUUUUUAGUUGGGGCAGCGAUUUGUCUGGUUAUAUUCGUUAACGAACGAGACCUCAGUCUGCUAACUAGCUAUGCGGAGGUAUCCCUUCGCAACCAGUUUCUUAGAGGGACUACGGCCUUUUAGGCCGCGGAAGUUUGAGGCAAUAACAGGUCAGUGAUGACCUUAGAUGUUCUGGGCCGCACACACGCUACACUGAUGUAUUCAACGAGCUUGUAGCCUUGUCCGACAGGCCCGGGUAAUAUUUGAACUUUCGUUGUGAUGGGGAUAGAUGAUUGCAAUUGUUGGUCUUCAACGAGGAAUUCCUAGUAAGAGUUGGUCAUCAGCUCGCGUUGACUACGUCCCUGCCCUUUGUACACACUGCCCAUUGCUCCUACCGAUUAAAUGAUCCGAUGAGAUGUUUGGAUCGCAGCGAUGUGGGCGGUUUGCUGCCCGCAACUUCGCGAGAAGUCCAUUGAACCUUCUCAUUUAGAGGAAGGAGAAGUCGUAACAAGAUAUCCGUAGGUGAACCUGCGGAAGGAAUAUUC
Solanum tuberosum (potato) is the source of this 1708-nucleotide non-coding RNA. Lineage: Eukaryota; Viridiplantae; Streptophyta; Magnoliopsida; Solanales; Solanaceae. The record is from Rfam.